GUAUUACCUGGCAGGUGAGAGACCACGAUCAAGAAGUUGGUUCUCCCAGGACGAGGUUCCUCCAUUGCACUUUGGAGGGGUUGACCCCUGUGAUUUCCUCAAAUGCAGGAAACUCAACUGCAUAAUUUUUAUGGUAGAUGAAGGUAAACGUGCUGAG
Molecule: small nuclear RNA, 157 nt
Organism: Protopterus annectens (West African lungfish)
Lineage: Eukaryota; Metazoa; Chordata; Ceratodontiformes; Protopteridae
Product: U1 spliceosomal RNA
Exons: 1
Source: RefSeq, a predicted model, not a curated record